GCUGAGAAGUGGCGGAAAGCACUAGCGAGAUUUUUGAGGCAGCCACAUUUUAUCGUAUGGGACAAUGGUGACCUGGUAACUCAUGAGGUCAUGGGUGGUCUAAAGAAUGUAUACGCCAUUGGAGCUGGUAUGGUAGCAGCUCUUACCAAUGAAAGUGCCACAAGCAAGUCAGUGUACUUCGCACAUUGUACAUCUGAGAUGAUAUUCAUUACACAUCUCCUGGCUGAAGGACCCGAGAAGCUU
This 243-nucleotide unclassified non-coding RNA is filed under the name Hevea brasiliensis (rubber tree). The record is from RNAcentral. Lineage: Eukaryota; Viridiplantae; Streptophyta; Magnoliopsida; Malpighiales; Euphorbiaceae.